GUGCUAAACCCAAGUGUGCCAGCUUGAUAUGUGGUAGCCUAUCAUCCCCAACCAGAAGCAAAGAACAAGGUAAUCUGCUUUUGGAUAAACCAAAAAGGAAAAGGAUAGGCAAACCCCCUUACAAACGUAGAGACACAAGAUGUGAGGCAGAAGACAUUGAAGUAUGGGAAAUGCCUAAACCCAGUGCACACAAAGGGUGUGGAUCAAAGAGGUCUCUCUACAAAAGAAGAUAAUCUGACUAUAUUGCAAAUGCAAGGGGGAAAUCUGAUUACUGCAAAUGCUGGGAGAAGAACACAAACAUACUGAGGUUGCAUGUCUCUUAAUCUUUAAAAUGAGUCCAUAAGUAGCUCUUUUUUGUUCUUUGUAUAAAUCUUUCUAAGCUACUAUGCACAGUUAAAGGAUAAGAAGUAACAUGGUAAAGAGUUCGAGUACACUAUAUAAAAUAUUAAAUGAAAGAAACACUUGAAAUAAAGCACUCGAAAUUGUAAAUAAGAACA
RNAcentral lists this long non-coding RNA (497 nucleotides) under Chelonoidis abingdonii (Abingdon island giant tortoise). RNAcentral's name for it is "lncRNA (ENSCABG00000017096.1)". Lineage: Eukaryota; Metazoa; Chordata; Testudines; Testudinidae. The record is from RNAcentral.